UGGGUCAGUAGCUCAGCGGAUAGAGCAACCGCCUUCUAAGCGGUUGGUCGCAGGUUCAAAUCCUGCCUGACCCGU
This 75-nucleotide transfer RNA is filed under the name Synechococcus phage S-BM1. RNAcentral describes it as "tRNA-Arg". It matches the Rfam family "tRNA". Rfam says of the family: Transfer RNA (tRNA) molecules are approximately 80 nucleotides in length. Their secondary structure includes four short double-helical elements and three loops (D, anti-codon, and T loops). The record is from RNAcentral. Lineage: Duplodnaviria; Heunggongvirae; Uroviricota; Caudoviricetes; Pantevenvirales; Kyanoviridae.